Molecule: long non-coding RNA, 346 nt
Filed under: Brassica rapa (field mustard)
Lineage: Eukaryota; Viridiplantae; Streptophyta; Magnoliopsida; Brassicales; Brassicaceae
Description: long non-coding RNA (BRAP_LNC000158)
Source: RNAcentral
GAUUCCAUAAAAUUAUACAACAAUACGUGGACAUAGACUCAUGUUACUAAAAUUAUACCAUAAAACGUGGACACAGACUAUGUUAUCUCCAAUACAAACACUUGGCUUCUUCAGUUCAAUUGAUAAAUUAUCUGCAAUUAAACUUCAAUCAAGAUGAGAAAUAAAUGAUAUUGUAAGUAUGAGCGGAGAGAAAAACCGAAGAAGCAUGUCAGAGAGUAAUAGAUCUUGCAUGUCAGAGAUUUUUGAUCUAAGCAUUUGCGCUUUGUCAUGAUGUGGAUGGAUGUAAUUUUGAUUAGAAUUGAAUUUAGAUUCCGAGAUGAUGAAUGGAAUCGAAGGAAUAUUGUCC